AUUUUUUUUUCUUUUAAUACUAUGUAAUUUAAAAUAUAUCAAUUUGAUAUUCUAUGAUUUUAUUUUUUUUCUUUCUGUUUAGUUUUACCGUUAACAUUUCGUUAAAUUAUAUAUAAAAAACUUCAGAUACUAUGCCUAAAUUUAUUAAAUAUUUAUUCUAAUACCUUUUAGUUUUAAAUUUGUUACUGAUUUAACGAAAAGAAAGUAAAAAAAUAGUAUAAAGAAAAAAAUUAAACUAUAAAAUACUAAAUUAAUACACCUUAAAUUAUAGGAUACUAAAAUAAAAAAAGAAAAAACUUCAAAUACCCUCCUGUGGUUUCACAUUUUUUCACUUUGGUACCUUAUGAUUUAAAGUGUAUCAAGUUAGUACUCUGUGGUUUCAUUUUUGUAUCAAGUUAGUAUCUUGUGGUUUCAUUUUUUUCUUUUUAUUAUUCAUCUCGGGAUAUUUUUUUCAUUAAAUCAGUGACAAAGUUAAAAGUAAAAGAUACUAAAAUGAAUAUUUGAUAAAUCUAGAUAGAGUAUCUAAAUUUUUUUUUGUAUAUAAUUUAACGAAAUAUUAAACCACAGAAUACUAGAGUGAGAAGGUGCGAAACCACAGGGUACUAACCUGAUAUACUUUAAACUACAUGGUACUAAAGUGAGAAAGUGCAAAACUACAGAGUACUAAUUUGAUACACUUUAAAUCAAAUGAUACUAAAGUGAGAAAGUACGAAACCAAAAGGGGGUAAUUGAAGUUUUU
RNAcentral lists this long non-coding RNA (739 nucleotides) under Ananas comosus (pineapple). RNAcentral's name for it is "long non-coding RNA (ACOM_LNC001460)". Lineage: Eukaryota; Viridiplantae; Streptophyta; Magnoliopsida; Poales; Bromeliaceae. The record is from RNAcentral.